GCACGCUGACACGUAGGUGAAGUGAUUUACUCAUGGAGCUGAAGUCAGUCGAAGAUACCAGCUGGCUGCAACUGUUUAUUAAAAACACAGCACUGUGCAAACACGAAAGUGGACGUAUACGGUGUGACGCCUGCCCGGUGCCGGAAGGUUAAUUGAUGGGGUCAGCGCAAGCGAAGCUCCUGAUCGAAGCCCCGGUAAACGGCGGCCGUAACUAUAACGGUCCUAAGGUAGCGAAAUUCCUUGUCGGGUAAGUUCCGACCUGCACGAAUGGCGUAAUGAUGGCCAGGCUGUCUCCACCCGAGACUCAGUGAAAUUGAACUCGCUGUGAAGAUGCAGUGUACCCGCGGCAAGACGGAAAGACCCCGUGAACCUUUACUAUAGCUUGACACUGAACAUUGAGCCUUGAUGUGUAGGAUAGGUGGGAGGCUUUGAAGUGUGGACGCCAGUCUGCAUGGAGCCGACCUUGAAAUACCACCCUUUAAUGUUUGAUGUUCUAACGUGGACCCGUAAUCCGGGUUGCGGACAGUGUCUGGUGGGUAGUUUGACUGGGGCGGUCUCCUCCUAAAGAGUAACGGAGGAGCACGAAGGUUGGCUAAUCCUGGUCGGACAUCAGGAGGUUAGUGCAAUGGCAUAAGCCAGCUUGACUGCGAGCGUGACGGCGCGAGCAGGUGCGAAAGCAGGUCAUAGUGAUCCGGUGGUUCUGAAUGGAAGGGCCAUCGCUCAACGGAUAAAAGGUACUCCGGGGAUAACAGGCUGAUACCGCCCAAGAGUUCAUAUCGACGGCGGUGUUUGGCACCUCGAUGUCGGCUCAUCACAUCCUGGGGCUGAAGUAGGUCCCAAGGGUAUGGCUGUUCGCCAUUUAAAGUGGUACGCGAGCUGGGUUUAGAACGUCGUGAGACAGUUCGGUCCCUAUCUGCCGUGGGCGCUGGAGAACUGAGGGGGGCUGCUCCUAGUACGAGAGGACCGGAGUGGACGCAUCACUGGUGUUCGGGUUGUCAUGCCAAUGGCACUGCCCGGUAGCUAAAUGCGGAAGAGAUAAGUGCUGAAAGCAUCUAAGCACGAAACUUGCCCCGAGAUGAGUUCUCCCUGAGACUUAGAGUCUCCUGAAGGAACGUUGAAGACGACGACGUUGAUAGGCCGGGUGUGUAAGCGCAGCGAUGCGUUGAGCUAACCGGUACUAAUGAACCGUGAGGCUUAACCUUACAACGCCGAAG
This 1214-nucleotide ribosomal RNA is filed under the name Salmonella enterica subsp. enterica. RNAcentral describes it as "partial 23S ribosomal RNA". It matches the Rfam family "Bacterial large subunit ribosomal RNA", at positions 1746 to 2925 of the family's 2925-position model. The record is from RNAcentral. Lineage: Bacteria; Pseudomonadati; Pseudomonadota; Gammaproteobacteria; Enterobacterales; Enterobacteriaceae.